AGAGAUGCGGGGUCUACCGAGAGGGAGGGGGUUGAUGCGGGCCCGGGGGAGGGGUCGUGCGGCCCCUCCGGGCAGCCGAGGCCGCGGAAGGGGGGGGCCCCACAGAGGAAGAGGUAGGCCCCGGAGCCUACUCUCUCUUCCCAGGGCCCAGGCAUCCUGGACCCCCCAACUCUCUACUGGGCUGACCAGCCCUCCUGUCCCUUGUCUCCCCUCCCAGGGGGAGGCCCCCGCUGAGAUGGGGGCGCUGCUGCUGGAGAAGGAAACCAGAGGAGCCACCGAGAGAGUUCAUGGCUCUUUGGGGGACACCCCUCGUAGUGAAGAAACCCUGCCCAAGGCCACCCCCGACUCCCUGGAGCCUGCUGGCCCCUCAUCUCCAGCCUCUGUCACUGUCACUGUUGGUGAUGAGGGGGCUGACACCCCUGUAGGGGCUACACCACUCAUUGGGGAUGAAUCUGAGAAUCUUGAGGGAGAUGGGGACCUCCGUGGGGGCCGGAUCCUGCUGGGCCAUGCCACAAAGUCAUUCCCCUCUUCCCCCAGCAAGGGGGGUUCCUGUCCUAGCCGGGCCAAGAUGUCAAUGACAGGGGCGGGAAAAUCACCUCCAUCUGUCCAGAGUUUGGCUAUGAGGCUACUGAGUAUGCCAGGAGCCCAGGGAGCUGCAGCAGCAGGGUCUGAACCCCCUCCAGCCACCACGAGCCCAGAGGGACAGCCCAAGGUCCACCGAGCCCGCAAAACCAUGUCCAAACCAGGAAAUGGACAGCAUACCAAGACCCCAUCUCUAAAAGAAGUUUAAAAGAAUGUUUCAAAGGCCAGGCCCAGUGACUCACGCCUGUAAUCCCGUACUUUCUGGGGAGGAUCACUUGACACCAGGAGUUCAAGACCAGCCUGGGCAACAUGGCAAGACCUCUUCUCUACCAAAAAAAAAAAUUAAGAAGACAUUAGUUAGGCAUUGUGACAUGUGCCUGUAAUCCCAGCUUCCCAGGAAGCUGAGGCAGGAGAAUGGCUUGAGUCCAGUUCGAGGCUGAAGUGAGCCAUAGUCAUGCCACUGCACUCCAUCCUGGCCCCCGGUCCCUGAGAAGCGGCCCCCUGAAAUACAGCAUUUCCGCAUGAGUGAUGAUGUCCACUCACUGGGAAAGGUGACCUCAGAUCUGGCCAAAAGGAGGAAGCUGAACUCAGGAGGUGGCCUGUCGGAGGAGUUAGGUUCUGCCCGGCGUUCAGGAGAAGUGACCCUGACGAAAGGGGACCCCGGGUCCCUGGAGGAGUGGGAGACGGUGGUGGGUGAUGACUUCAGUCUCUACUAUGAUUCCUACUCUGUGGAUGAGCGCGUGGACUCCGACAGCAAGUCUGAAGUUGAAGCUCUAACUGAACAACUAAGUGAAGAGGAGGAGGAGGAAGAGGAGGAAGAAGAAGAAGAGGAAGAGGAGGAGGAAGAGGAAGAAGAAGAGGAAGAUGAGGAGUCAGGGAAUCAGUCAGAUAGGAGUGGUUCCAGUGGCCGGCGCAAGGCCAAGAAGAAAUGGCGAAAAGACAGCCCAUGGGUGAAGCCGUCUCGGAAACGGCGCAAGCGGGAGCCUCCGCGGGCCAAGGAGCCACGAGGAGUGAAUGGUGUGGGCUCCUCAGGCCCCAGUGAGUACAUGGAGGUCCCUCUGGGGUCCCUGGAGCUGCCCAGCGAGGGGACCCUCUCCCCCAACCACGCUGGGGUGUCCAAUGACACAUCUUCGCUGGAGACAGAGCGAGGGUUUGAGGAGUUGCCCCUGUGCAGCUGCCGCAUGGAGGCACCCAAGAUUGACCGCAUCAGCGAGAGGGCGGGGCACAAGUGCAUGGCCACUGAGAGUGUGGACGGAGAGCUGUCAGGCUGCAAUGCCGCCAUCCUCAAGCGGGAGACCAUGAGGCCAUCCAGCCGUGUGGCCCUGAUGGUGCUCUGUGAGACCCACCGCGCCCGCAUGGUCAAACACCACUGCUGCCCGGGCUGCGGCUACUUCUGCACGGCGGGCACCUUCCUGGAGUGCCACCCUGACUUCCGUGUGGCCCACCGCUUCCACAAGGCCUGUGUGUCUCAGCUGAAUGGGAUGGUCUUCUGUCCCCACUGUGGGGAGGAUGCUUCUGAAGCUCAAGAGGUGACCAUCCCCCGGGGUGACGGGGUGACCCCACCGGCCGGCACUGCAGCUCCUGCACCCCCACCCCUGUCCCAGGAUGUCCCCGGGAGAGCAGACACUUCUCAGCCCAGUGCCCGGAUGCGAGGGCAUGGGGAACCCCGGCGCCCGCCCUGCGAUCCCCUGGCUGACACCAUUGACAGCUCAGGGCCCUCCCUGACCCUGCCCAAUGGGGGCUGCCUUUCAGCCGUGGGGCUGCCACUGGGGCCAGGCCGGGAGGCCCUGGAAAAGGCCCUGGUCAUCCAGGAGUCAGAGAGGCGGAAGAAGCUCCGUUUCCACCCUCGGCAGUUGUACCUGUCCGUGAAGCAGGGCGAGCUGCAGAAGGUGAUCCUGAUGCUGUUGGACAACCUGGACCCCAACUUCCAGAGCGACCAGCAGAGCAAGCGCACGCCCCUGCAUGCAGCCGCCCAGAAGGGCUCCGUGGAGAUCUGCCAUGUGCUGCUGCAGGCUGGAGCCAACAUAAAUGCAGUGGACAAACAGCAGCGGACGCCACUGAUGGAGGCCGUGGUGAACAACCACCUGGAGGUAGCCCGUUACAUGGUGCAGCGUGGUGGCUGUGUCUAUAGCAAGGAGGAGGACGGUUCCACCUGCCUCCACCACGCAGCCAAAAUCGGGAACUUGGAGAUGGUCAGCCUGCUGCUGAGCACAGGACAGGUGGACGUCAACGCCCAGGACAGUGGGGGGUGGACGCCCAUCAUCUGGGCUGCAGAGCACAAGCACAUCGAGGUGAUCCGCAUGCUACUGACGCGGGGCGCCGACGUCACCCUCACUGACAACGUGAGUGAGCGUUUGGUUGAGGAGGAGAACAUCUGCCUGCACUGGGCCUCCUUCACGGGCAGCGCCGCCAUCGCCGAAGUCCUUCUGAAUGCGCGCUGUGACCUCCAUGCUGUCAACUACCAUGGGGACACCCCCCUGCACAUCGCAGCUCGGGAGAGCUACCAUGACUGCGUGCUGUUAUUCCUGUCACGUGGGGCCAACCCUGAGCUGCGGAACAAAGAGGGGGACACAGCAUGGGACCUGACUCCCGAGCGCUCCGACGUGUGGUUUGCGCUUCAACUCAACCGCAAGCUCCGACUUGGGGUGGGAAAUCGGGCCAUCCGCACAGAGAAGAUCAUCUGCCGGGACGUGGCUCGGGGCUAUGAGAACGUGCCCAUUCCCUGUGUCAACGGUGUGGAUGGGGAGCCCUGCCCUGAGGAUUACAAGUACAUCUCAGAGAACUGCGAGACGUCCACCAUGAACAUCGAUCGCAACAUCACCCACCUGCAGCACUGCACGUGUGUGGACGACUGCUCUAGCUCCAACUGCCUGUGCGGCCAGCUCAGCAUCCGGUGCUGGUAUGACAAGGAUGGGCGAUUGCUCCAGGAAUUUAACAAGAUUGAGCCUCCGCUGAUUUUCGAGUGUAACCAGGCGUGCUCAUGCUGGAGAAACUGCAAGAACCGGGUCGUACAGAGUGGCAUCAAGGUGCGGCUACAGCUCUACCGAACAGCCAAGAUGGGCUGGGGGGUCCGCGCCCUGCAGACCAUCCCACAGGGGACCUUCAUCUGCGAGUAUGUCGGGGAGCUGAUCUCUGAUGCUGAGGCUGAUGUGAGAGAGGAUGAUUCUUACCUCUUCGACUUAGACAACAAGGAUGGAGAGGUGUACUGCAUAGAUGCCCGUUACUAUGGCAACAUCAGCCGCUUCAUCAACCACCUGUGUGACCCCAACAUCAUUCCCGUCCGGGUCUUCAUGCUGCACCAAGACCUGCGAUUUCCACGCAUCGCCUUCUUCAGUUCCCGAGACAUCCGGACUGGGGAGGAGCUAGGGUUUGACUAUGGCGACCGCUUCUGGGACAUCAAAAGCAAAUAUUUCACCUGCCAAUGUGGCUCUGAGAAGUGCAAGCACUCAGCCGAAGCCAUUGCCCUGGAGCAGAGCCGUCUGGCCCGCCUGGACCCACACCCUGAGCUGCUGCCCGAGCUCGGCUCCCUGCCCCCUGUCAACACAUGAGAACGGACCACACCCUCUCUCCCCAGCAUGGAUGGCCACAGCUCAGCCGCCUCCUCUGCCACCAGCUGCUCGCAGCCCAUGCCUGGGGGUGCUGCCAUCUUCUCUCCCCACCACCCUUUCACACAUUCCUGACCAGAGAUCCCAGCCAGGCCCUGGAGGUCUGACAGCCCCUCCCUCCCAGAGCUGGUUCCUCCCUGGGAGGGCAACUUCAGGGCUGGCCACCCCCCGUGUUCCCCAUCCUCAGUUGAAGUUUGAUGAAUUGAAGUCGGGCCUCUAUGCCAACUGGUUCCUUUUGUUCUCAAUAAAUGUUGGGUUUGGUAAUAAA
This 4455-nucleotide unclassified non-coding RNA is filed under the name Homo sapiens (human). RNAcentral describes it as "euchromatic histone lysine methyltransferase 2 (ENSG00000206376.9)". Lineage: Eukaryota; Metazoa; Chordata; Mammalia; Primates; Hominidae. The record is from RNAcentral.